This 321-nucleotide unclassified non-coding RNA is filed under the name soil metagenome. RNAcentral's name for it is "partial contains 5.8S ribosomal RNA, internal transcribed spacer 2, and large subunit ribosomal RNA". The stretch from base 1 to 119 matches the Rfam family "5.8S ribosomal RNA", at positions 35 to 154 of the family's 154-position model. The record is from RNAcentral.
GAUGAAGAACGUAGCGAAAUGCGAUACGUAAUGUGAAUUGCAAAUUCAGUGAAUCAUCGAGUCUUUGAACGCACAUUGCGCCCUUUGGCAUUCCGAAGGGCACACCUGUCCGAGCGCCGUCGCACAACUGAGGCGCAGCCUUGCGUUGGCGGGCGACUUGUGAGUAGCGAGUCGCCGCCCAAACGAGACGGCGCCGCGCCGCGGCCGACGAAGCACGAAAGCGGAAGUCGACGCGGAGGCGGUUGCCUGUAGGAAGACACAGCUUGGCCUCGGAUCAGGUGGGGAUACCCGCUGAACUUAAGAAUAUCAAUAAGCGGAGGA